Molecule: transfer RNA, 72 nt
Filed under: Candidatus Moraniibacteriota bacterium
Lineage: Bacteria; Candidatus Moraniibacteriota
Description: tRNA-Ile
Rfam family: tRNA
About the family: Transfer RNA (tRNA) molecules are approximately 80 nucleotides in length. Their secondary structure includes four short double-helical elements and three loops (D, anti-codon, and T loops).
Source: RNAcentral
GGGUCCAUAGCUCAGCGGCAGAGCACUCGGCUCAUAACCGAAUGGUCGCAGGUUCGAUCCCUGCUGGACCCA